This 566-nucleotide ribosomal RNA is filed under the name uncultured bacterium. RNAcentral describes it as "partial 16S ribosomal RNA". It matches the Rfam family "Bacterial small subunit ribosomal RNA", at positions 355 to 912 of the family's 1533-position model. The record is from RNAcentral.
UGGGGAAUAUUGCACAAUGGGCGCAAGCCUGAUGCAGCCAUGCCGCGUGUGUGAAGAAGGCCUCGGGUUGUAAAGCACUUUCAGCGAGGAGGAAGGUGGUGAACUUAAUACGUCAUCAAUUGACGUUACUCGCAGAAGAAGCACCGGCUAACUCCGUGCCAGCAGCCGCGGUAAUACGGAGGGUGCAAGCGUUAAUCGGAAUUACUGGGCGUAAAGCGCACGCAGGCGGUUUGUUAAGUCAGAUGUGAAAUCCCCGGGCUCAACCUGGGAACUGCAUUUGAAACUGGCAAGCUAGAGUCUCGUAGAGGGGGGUAGAAUUCCAGGUGUAGCGGUGAAAUGCGUAGAGAUCUGGAGGAAUACCGGUGGCGAAGGCGGCCCCCUGGACGAAGACUGACGCUCAGGUGCGAAAGCGUGGGGAGCAAACAGGAUUAGAUACCCCUGGUAGUCCACGCUGUAAAACGAUGUCGAUUUUGGAGGUUGUGCCCUUGAGGCGUGGCUUCCGGAGCUAACGCGUUAAAUCGACCGCCUGGGGAGUACGGCCGCAAGGUUAAAACUCAAAUGAAUUG